AUGGUGGUGCGGGGCCAGCAAGAUCUGGACGCCAACAUCGUCCGCUGGGGCCUCCACCACCUCCUCGACGGCGGCGGCGGCUGCGUGCACCGCCCUCAAUCCCCCACCACCGACUACGCCCCGCCGCCGCCGCAGCCGCAGCGCGCCCGCGCCCUUCUCGACGGCCACGACAUGGCCCCCGCCCCCGCCUCCGCCUCCGAGGUCAGGGUCGACGCGGUCGAGAACGACGAGGUCAUGGCGCACGCGCUGCAGGAGGAGCUGGCGCAGGUCGCCAUGGCCGAGGCCUCGGGGGCCGGCGGCGGCGAGGCCGAGCGCCGCGCCACCGUCCUCGCGCAGCAGUGGUUCCGCCCCGAGGUCGUCAGCUAUCUGCCCUCAGCUCCACCUUAUGUAGAAGAAGCAGAGGGCUCCAGUCCAUGUUCGAGCCCCGAACAAGGUAGCAAUGCGCGCGACGGCCAGGGCUGCUCCAUAGAGCUUGUGGAUGAUUUCUCUGCUCUCGACGGCGAAGUCGGCAAAAGACUGAAUGACAUGGUCCCUGUCCCUCAUGUCCCUAAAACAAACGGAGACAUUCCUUCUUUUGAUGAAGCCUUUUCAGAUCACCGAAGACUUCUUGACAGGUUGGUGCUGUAUGGCCUGGUUGAGCUCAAGGUUAACGGAGAUGGCAAUUGUCAGUUUCGAGCAUUGUCCGAUCAAUUCUACCGAACUCCUGAACACCAUAGAUUUGUACGGCAACAAGUGGUCAAUCAGCUUGAGUCUCAUCCUGAGAUAUAUGCUGGAUAUGUCCCUAUGGAUUACAGAGAAUACCUUAAGAAGAUGCCAAAGAAUGGAGAGUGGGGUGACCAUGUUACACUGCAGGCGGCUGCAGACUUGUAUGGUGUAAAGAUUUUCAUUCUGACAUCAUUCAGAGAUACAUGCUACAUUGAAAUUCUCCCAGUCGUUCAAAAAUCAAAUAGAGUUAUAUGUUUGAGUUUUUGGGCUGAGGUGCACUACAACUCGAUAUAUCCAGAAGGAGAGUUGCCCGUCGUGGAGAACAGAAAGAAGAGCUUGUUGGAUCGACGGUCGUUUUGUUCGACCAUGUGA
RNAcentral lists this ribosomal RNA (1077 nucleotides) under Triticum aestivum (bread wheat). RNAcentral describes it as "partial small subunit ribosomal RNA". Lineage: Eukaryota; Viridiplantae; Streptophyta; Magnoliopsida; Poales; Poaceae. The record is from RNAcentral.